GAUUAACGCUGGCGGCGUGCCUAACACAUGCAAGUCGAACGAGGUAGCAAUACCUAGUGGCAGACGGGUGAGUAACACGUGGUCAACCUACCUUCGAGUGGGGGAUAACUAGCCGAAAGGUUAGCUAAUACCGCAUGACACCGAUCGAGGCAUCUCGGACGGUUGAAAGGAGCAAUUCGCUUGAAGACGGGACCGCGUCCCAUUAGCUCGUUGGUGGGGUAAUGGCCUACCAAGGCUCCGAUGGGUAGCUGGUUUGAGAGAGCGACCAGCCACACUG
Molecule: ribosomal RNA, 277 nt
Filed under: uncultured bacterium
Lineage: Bacteria
Description: partial 16S ribosomal RNA
Rfam family: Bacterial small subunit ribosomal RNA
Source: RNAcentral